GCUCACUUUGGCUGCACAUAUACUAAAAUUGGAACAAUGAAGAGAAGAAUAGUAUUGCUCCUGUAGAAGGAUGACAUGCAAAUUAACUCAAGCUACUAUCUAAUG
Empidonax traillii (willow flycatcher) is the source of this 105-nucleotide small nuclear RNA. The record is from RefSeq and is a predicted model, not a curated record. Lineage: Eukaryota; Metazoa; Chordata; Aves; Passeriformes; Tyrannidae.